UAACAGCAAAGGAGACUUUCUUACAAGAGAGAAGUCAGAGAUCUUCAUCUGCAUCUGAAAUGGUCUGCAGUCUGCACGGUGCAAAACUCAAACUCUUCUGUCUGGAUGAUCAACAGUCGGUGUGUUUGGUGUGUCAGAUGUCAAGAAAACACACCAAGCAUAAAUUCUGCCCCAUUGAUGAGGUGGUAACAGACUGGAAGAAGGAGCUCAAAACUUCACUGAAGCCCCUACAGGAGAAACUGAAGAUCUUUAAUGUCUGUAAACUGAAACGGAGUCAGACUGCAGAACAUAUAAAGAUUCAGGCCCAACACACAGAGCGGCAGAUUAAGGAGGAGUUUGAGAAGCUCCACCAGUUUCUAUGAGAUGAGGCAGUCAGGAUCGCUGCACUGAGAGAGGAAGAGGAGCAGAAGAGUCAGAUGAUGAAGGAGAAGAUUGAGAAGCUGAGCAGAGACAUAUCGUCCCUUUGAGACACAAUCAGAGUUAUAGAAGAGGAGAUGAGAGCUGAAGACGUCUCAUUCUUACAAAACUACAAGGCCACAGUGAAAAGAGCUCAGUGUACACUGCAGCAUCCUGAGGAGCUUUCAGGAGUGCUGAUCCAUGUGGCAAAACAUCUAGCCAACCUGAAGUUCAGAGUCUGGGAGAAGAUGCAGGACAUUGUCCAAUACAGGUCCCGGGGAACCUGGAGCCUAUCCCAGGAAGCAUCGGGCACAAGGCGGGGUACACCCUGGACAGGGUGCCAGUCCAUCGUAGGGCACACAAUCACACACACUCACACACCCAUUCAUACACUACGUACACUUUAGACAUGCUAAUCAGCCUACUAUGCAUGUCUUUGGACUGGGGGAGGAAACCGGAGUACCCGGAGGAAACCCCGGCAGCAUGGAGAGAACAUGCAAACCCUGCACACACAGGGCCCCGGCGGGACUCGAACGCCGGACCCUGGAGGUGUGAGGCGAACGUGCCCACUUUGAAAACCACUGACCUAGGUCACUGUGCCCCCUCACCUCUGGUGUAGCAGCUGCAUUGCCAUGGCCAAAAGAAAUGUGGGCUCUGCUCUUGCAAUGUAAGCUGGUUGGGAAGGCACAGGAAGUAUGCUCUUCGUUACAUAUCGAGAAAGUGUGCGAGGGAGAAGCAAACCCUUUUUGAAAAGUGGGAAUGCUGAGAAGGUUACUGUCCAUGGUGCUGAAGGACAGACGAGGUGGAAUUUAUGCGGGCCGUAGAGGGUCUCAGACACGUCUUGGGGAUGGUAGUCUGCUUUCACUGCCUUGAUGCAGGUCACC
Ictalurus punctatus (channel catfish) is the source of this 1280-nucleotide long non-coding RNA. RefSeq lists it as uncharacterized. The transcript is spliced from 8 exons. Lineage: Eukaryota; Metazoa; Chordata; Actinopteri; Siluriformes; Ictaluridae. The record is from RefSeq and is a predicted model, not a curated record.